Molecule: ribosomal RNA, 398 nt
Filed under: uncultured bacterium
Lineage: Bacteria
Description: bacterial SSU rRNA
Rfam family: Bacterial small subunit ribosomal RNA
Source: RNAcentral
AUCUUGGACAAUGGGGGAAACCCUGAUCCAGCCAUGCCGCGUGAGUGAUGAAGGCCUUCGGGUUGUAAAGCUCUUUCAGAUGUGAAGAUGAUGACGGUAGCAUCAGAAGAAGCUCCGGCUAACUCCGUGCCAGCAGCCGCGGUAAUACGGAGGGAGCGAGCGUUGUUCGGAAUUACUGGGCGUAAAGCGCGCGCAGGCGGUCCUGCAAGUCUGAAGUGAAAUCUCGUCGCUCAACGACGGGGCUGCUUUGGAAACUGCGGGUCUGGAGAUCGGUAGAGGCUGGUAGAAUUGCAGGUGUAGCGGUGGAAUGCGUAGAGAUCUGCAAGAAUACCCGUGGCGAAGGCGGCCAGCUGGGCCGAAUCUGACGCUGAGGCGCGAAAGCGUGGGGAGCAAACAGG